This is a ribosomal RNA of 1101 nucleotides. It matches the Rfam family "Eukaryotic large subunit ribosomal RNA", at positions 73 to 1113 of the family's 3401-position model.
GUUCCCCUAGUAAUGGCGAAUGAACAGGGAAAAGCCCAAUUUUAAAAUCACCUAACCGUGAAUUGUAGUUUAUAAGAGUGUAGAACUGUGCUGCCUUGCCUUAAGUCUCUUGAAAAAGAGCUACAGAGAGGGUGAAAUUCCCGUUUUGGUGCAAGUAGUAGUAUGGAACUUAUCUCUAAAGAGUCAUGUUGCUUGAGAAUGCAGCAUAAAAUGGGUGGUAAAUUCCAUCUAAGGCUAAAUACUGGUAAGAGUCCGAUAGUAAACAAGUACCUUAAGGGAAAGAUGAAAGAGAACCUUGAAAAGGGUCUCAAAAGAAAGUGAAAUUGUUAUAAGGAAACCGCUUAAAACUUCUGGAAUCUGUGCACCAGUUAAUGGGGGAGCAAUCCCUUUGCUAUUGGUGUAUGGGUGGCUAUUGCUCGGGUUUGAGCUUAUGAGGAUUAGAAGGGAAGGUAAGUUGAAUUUCGGUUUAACUUCUUAAAGCCCUUUUAGUCUGAUAAAGUUUGGGCCAGUGUAGAAAGUCAUACGGUGGCUAGCUCUUGAAUUAAACACUAUAAUAGACUUGUGCUAGAGUGGUUUUUAAUUUAAGGCCUAGUACUGCCACAUGCUUUAAUAGUUAAGAAGACUUAAGCGACCCGUCUUGAAACACGGACCAAGGAGUCUAACAUAUAUGCAAGUAUUAUGGCUUAAAACCAGACUGCGCAAUGAAAGUAAUUUCAAGGUAGGAUCCCGCAAGGGUGCACUAUCGACCGAGCUAUAGGGAUUUUUUUCUAUGGUUUGAGUAAGAGCAUAUAUGUUGGUACCCGAAAGAUGGUGAACUAUGCCUGAAUAGGGUGAAGCCAGGGGAAACCCUGGUGGAAGCUCGUAGCGAUUCUGACGUGCAAAUCGAUCGUCAAAUUUGGGUAUAGGGGCGAAAGACUAAUCGAACCAUCUAGUAGCUGGUUCCUGCCGAAGUUUCCCUCAGGAUAGCAGAAGCUCGAAGUAAUAGUUUUAUGUGGUAAAGCGAAUGAUUAGAGGUCUUAGGUAUUCAAAAUAUUUAACCUAUUCUCAAACUUUGAAUGCGUAAGACAAUCUUAGUUUCUUAAUGAACUAGGAUAUUAGAAU